AGGUAGUAAAUAAAUCAAACCUAUUUAUUACGGCGGCUAAUAUUCUAUUAGAGGAACUUGUUUAAUAAUCGAUAUGCCCCGAUAAUUUUCACUUUAUAUAAAAGCUUAUAUACCUCCAUCUAAAGAAUUUAUUAUAAAAUUUUCUCUAAACAAUAAAUAAAAAGUUAGGUCAAGGUGUAGCUAAUAAUAAAGAUUAAAAUGAGUUACAUUAAAUUUUAUUUAAGGAAAAAGAAAGAAAUUUUUUUUAAAAGAGGAUUUAUAAGUAAUAAUAUAUUAACAAUAUUAAUAUAUGAAUUUUAAAAUAAUAGUGU
Molecule: ribosomal RNA, 311 nt
Filed under: Holcolaetis xerampelina
Lineage: Eukaryota; Metazoa; Arthropoda; Arachnida; Araneae; Salticidae
Description: partial 12S ribosomal RNA
Source: RNAcentral